CACGGAGUUCCCUAAGAGGUACAGGCACGAGGAACCUGGAAGGGACUGAACCGAGCAGAGCGUCGCGCUGCUAACGGUCAACGGCUCGCUCGCACGCGGUCCUUCCUAUUUGCCCCCGGCGUGACUUUCAUCGAAAAGAUCUUGUGUUCUGGAAGAAGAGUUCAGCCCAGACCCUCAACCGUCCCACCGUUCAAACCCCGGAAUCGUGUGGCAUUCCUGCGGACACCUGGCAGCGCUACCGAAAGUCAGAAUCCCGGAGCCGAUGUCGGCGCCGCUCUCGCAAACACAUUCAGAGACAUUAUGAAAAUGUUGCAAUGGUCUGAAGCCAUUCUUGCGCUGCGCACAGAACAGGAGCACUCCAGGAACAGUGUGGUCGGUGUUUCGGGACCGCGAGCGGCAGCGACACCGUUUCCAGCGUCACCUCACAGGCCCCCCCACAGCACCCUUCUCAGGAAGGACUGGAGGCCAAAAGAGACUGACCACACUGCACUUGCCCCCUCCCGACCGCCACUUCCAGAAAGAGCCAGAAGCUUCUCCCAGCCCCAGGGCCCAGACUGUGCACAGCGAGG
This 569-nucleotide long non-coding RNA is filed under the name Scleropages formosus (Asian bonytongue). RNAcentral's name for it is "lncRNA (ENSSFOG00015031963.1)". The record is from RNAcentral. Lineage: Eukaryota; Metazoa; Chordata; Actinopteri; Osteoglossiformes; Osteoglossidae.